RNAcentral lists this ribosomal RNA (465 nucleotides) under uncultured bacterium. RNAcentral's name for it is "partial 16S ribosomal RNA". It matches the Rfam family "Bacterial small subunit ribosomal RNA", at positions 28 to 507 of the family's 1533-position model. The record is from RNAcentral.
GACGAACGCUGGCGGCGUGCUUAACACAUGCAAGUCGAACGGAAAGGCCCUGCUUGCAGGGUUCUCGAGUUGCGAACGGGUGAGUAACACGUGGGUGGUCUGCCCUGCACUUCGGGUUAAGCCAGGGAAACUGGGCCUAAUACCGGCUGGGAGCCAUUUUUAGCGUGAUGGUUGGAAAGUUUUUUCGGUGUUGGAUGAGCUCGCGGCCUAUCAGCUUGUUGGUGGGGUAAUGGCCUACCAAGGCGGCGAGGGGUAGCCGGCCUGCGAGGGUGGACUGCCAUAUUGGGACUGAGAGAAGGCCCAGACUGCGACGGGAGGCAGAAGUGGGGAAGAUUGACCAAGGGGCGCAAGGCUGAUGCAGAGAGGCCGCGGGGCGGAAGACGGUCUUAGGGUUGUAAAAUCCUUUCGCUAGGGACGAAGCUUUUUGUGACGGUACCUAGAUAAGAAGCACCGGCUAACUACGUG